Molecule: ribosomal RNA, 1026 nt
Filed under: uncultured organism
Description: bacterial SSU rRNA
Rfam family: Bacterial small subunit ribosomal RNA
Source: RNAcentral
UAACGCAUGCAAGUCGAGCGAGAAGUUGGAAGUGAAGAUUCGAUUGGAACGGAAAAUGGAAAGCGGCAGACGGGUGAGUAACGCGUGAAUAAUCAACCCUGCACAAAGGGAUAGCCUCGGGAAACCGGGAUUAAUACCAUAUGAAGUAUAUUAAUCGAAUGAUAGAUAUAUUAAAGUUUAUAACGGUGCAGGACGAGUUCGCGUCCCAUUAGCUAGUUGGUAAGAUAACAGCUUACCAAGGCGACGAUGGGUAGCCGGCCUGAGAGGGUGAACGGGCACACUGGAACUGAGACACGGUCCAGACUCCUACGGGAGGCAGCAGUGGGGAAUAUUGCACAAUGGAGGAAACUCUGAUGCAGCGACGCCGCGUGAGCGAAGAAGGCCUUCGGGUCGUAAAGCUCUGUCCUAAGAGAAGAAGAAGUGACGGUAUCUUAGGAGGAAGCCCCGGCUAACUACGUGCCAGCAGCCGCGGUAAUACGUAGGGGGCUAGCGUUGUCCGGAAUUACUGGGCGUAAAGGGUGAGUAGGUGGUCAUUAAAGUCAGAUGUAAAAGGCAAUGGCUCAACCAUUGUAAGCAUAUGAAACUUAAUGACUUGAGUGCAGGAGAGGUAAAUGGAAUUCCUAGUGUAGCGGUGAAAUGCGUAGAUAUUAGGAAGAACACCAGUGGCGAAGGCGAUUUACUGGACUGUAACUGACACUGAGUCACGAAAAGCGUGGGGAGCAAACAGGAUUAGAUACCCUGGUAGUCCACGCUGUAAACGAUGAGUGCUAGGUGUCGGCAAGAGAUUGUCGGUGCCGCAGUUAACGCAUUAAGCACUCAGACUGAGGAAUACGAUCGCAAGAUUGAAACUCAGAGGAAUUGACGAGGAACCAGAUCAAGGCAGCGGAACAUUGUGGUAGAUUCGAAGCAACGCGAAGAACCUUACCAAGACUUGACAUCCUCUUGAUGGGUGUAGAAGUACACCGUCUCUUCGGAGCAAGAGUGACAGUUGGUGCAUGGUUGUCGUCAGCUCGUGUCGUGAGAUGU